GGGGCCGUAGCUCAGCUGGGAGAGCGCCGCGUUCGCAAUGCGGAGGCCGCGAGUUCGAUCCUCGCCGGCUCCACCA
This 76-nucleotide transfer RNA is filed under the name Gammaproteobacteria bacterium. RNAcentral's name for it is "tRNA-Ala". It matches the Rfam family "tRNA". Rfam says of the family: Transfer RNA (tRNA) molecules are approximately 80 nucleotides in length. Lineage: Bacteria; Pseudomonadati; Pseudomonadota; Gammaproteobacteria. The record is from RNAcentral.